Molecule: long non-coding RNA, 2342 nt
Filed under: Heterocephalus glaber (naked mole-rat)
Lineage: Eukaryota; Metazoa; Chordata; Mammalia; Rodentia; Bathyergidae
Description: lncRNA (ENSHGLG00000037721.1)
Source: RNAcentral
CCGCUUUUCCUCCCCUUACUGAGCCACACAGCAAAUCUAAGUCUGAAGACUCUCUUCUUACCAGCCUCUGCAUUUAUGUGGAAUUGGCACCGUCAUCAUCGUAGAUCAGUCACCCUGUGAAACAGAUGUUGCUGUCAUCCUCAUGCUAUUGACAAGCGAAGCUCAGAGAGGUUGAAGGAUUAUGGCUGGUUUAUGUUCAAGUUCAAUAAUUCUCCCACCGUCUUCAUUCUAUCAAGUCAUCCAGUGAAUUCUUACUCAGGGUAUUCUGUAGGAGUUUGAGCCUUGGUGGAGCAGGGUUCCUGAGAUACUGCCCUUCCUACUACAUCAGAGCACUGCUUACCGGGAAUCUGGUCACAGCGUGAGUGGUUCCAGUGGAAGAGGACACAGGGCCAGUUCCUGGAAAAUUGAAUGCACAAAAUUAUCCAGAAGUUACAGCUUUGUGUUUGUAUAUCGGCCCCACAGAAAAGACUGGGCUUCAUCAUCUGCAACUGAGCAAAACUGAAAGUUUUACAGAUAUGUCUGUGACUACGUGAGGAAUAAGUUUUUCUUUCUGUACCAAACUGUGAAGGACUGGCAUCUAUUGGAAGAAAUGAUUUAUUGGUGUGUGGAAAAUCAGUGGCGGGAAGAAUCUCUUACAUUAGGCCCCCGAGGAGGCCUCCAGCCCCUCAAAGGUGCAGGAACUCAAUGCAUGGGUGUCUGGUUGAAUGAAUGACAGGACAUGAGGCUCCACGCUGAGGGAGGAAAAUAUCCCUGAACAGCAUUAGAUCCACACUGUUCAUUCAGAUUCUCAUCUGGGCAGCACCUCCCACCCCACCCCAGGAUGAUGAGAAAAUCAUACAGCAUUUUGUCACCAUUGCAGGGGUGCUACUGGCAUCUAGUGGGUAGAGGACAGAGACUGCUGCUGAACACACUACGUUUAUAAAGCUCAGGACAAUUCCCAUCACAAAGAAUUAUCCAACUCCAAAUGCCAGUAGUGCUGAGGAUGAGACACCCCAUAGCCCAGGCCAGAGUGCAGUAUGGGCCAGAAUUGUUCUCUGGCCUCCAGCACUAGCCUGAGUGCAGAACCUACAUCAUUGGCCACAACAGAGGAAGAACAAAAGGACACUGAUGGGCUCUUGCAAAUGUAUCUCCCUGGAGAGAUGCAAACCAAGAACUUGUUUACUCUCAGCUGAGUGUGGAUCAAGCUGGAAGCGCUCUGAUUUCCUGUGGUGGUUACUUGAUACUGCGACUUACAGCCCUGUCCACCCCAGUCUCCUUUCUUGUUCUGUCUGUUGCUUGGUGACAUGAUGGGGAACACUGUGUUUCCUGCAUGCCUUUGAUGUCCAGUUCCUCUCAGUGUCCCUGACUUUGCUGACAUCACCUGAAGCAUUGGGUCACCUGUGCAGAGGUAGCUGCAGUCGCUGGCCACACAAGCACCUUUGGACCUCACGCCAAACACACCAAAUUCGCGUCUCAGUGGAACCUGGCCCAAGAAUCUGCAUUUAAGCCAGAGUCCCAGCUGAUUUUGAUGCAUGUUAAAGUCUGACAGGAUGUAUGAAGUAACAGAAACACAGUGCUUUCUCUUCUUUUAAAGGCUGUUUGUAAAAUGGUUGGGAAAACAUACUGGGUUCUCAGGAUGUGCUUUGAACGUAUUGAGUUCAAAUUUUAGAGAUUAUGAAGUGAAGGCAUCAGAAGCUGAAACAGUUCACUCUUAGGGAAUCACUGGACGCUGGUGAGGCCUUGCCUCCCCUCUCCCGGUAGAUGUGGUGCCACAUUCUGCCUCUCCAGCCAGAAUGAAUUUACCAGUUCACUGUCACAUUCAAUGAAACAGACUGAGUUUGCUGGGUUGUCAUCCAUCCCAAGCUUAGCAUGGACCUCACCGUAACCAUCUCAGUACCCACAGCACUGAGCAGGGCACCGUGGUGUCUACCUUCUCUGCCACCACCCACUCCAAGGCCCUGUCACUGGUCACCUUGAUGCUAGCAACAAUGGCCUAACUUAGUCCUCCCCGGCCCUGCUCAGCAUCUCUAUGCCUUAUGCAUUCUUAACAAGAUUCAUACUGGCUUUGGGGGAGAUGUUGCCUUCUACGGACACACAUGAAUACGCACCCUGAAAUCUAACAGUUUCCUCCAUGCUUUAUCCCCAGCCCAUCCUACAGGGUUCUGCUCACCCAGCUACCUAGCCCUCUGGCCUGCAGCUCUUCUGUCAUGACACGCCUGUCUCCUUCAAGCUCUUCACUUUACCCUGUGCCCCUGCUCCAAACAUGCAGGAUCGUACUUCCCUCUUCUUUUGCUUUGGUCCUGUUUUCAAUAUUAACUCCUAAGAGAUGCCUCGAGGGCUCAUGCUCUCUCUCUCUCUCCCAC